AAAAGGCAAUCGCGGCGUCCUUUAAGGACGGUGAGGAAAGUCCGAGCUCCAAAGGGCAGAGUGCCGGAUAACGUCCGGCGAGAGAAAUCUCAGGGAUAGUGCCACAGAAAAGUGUACCGCCAGGCUUUUGUCUGGUAAGGGUGGAACGGUGCGGUAAGAGCGCACCAGCAAGUAAGUAAUUACUUGGCUUGGUAAACCCCACUCGGAGUAAGACCAAAUAGGGAAGGGAUGAUGUUGCCCGCUGAUCCUUCCGGGUUGUGUCGCUGUAACCGGGGAGUAAUCUCUGGUAUAGAUAAAUGAUUGCCACCGCUUGUCGGAACAGAACUCGGCUUAUUGACUA
This 340-nucleotide RNase P RNA is filed under the name uncultured Succiniclasticum sp. Its description in RNAcentral is "Bacterial RNase P class A". It matches the Rfam family "Bacterial RNase P class A". Rfam says of the family: Ribonuclease P (RNase P) is a ubiquitous endoribonuclease, found in archaea, bacteria and eukarya as well as chloroplasts and mitochondria. Lineage: Bacteria; Bacillati; Bacillota; Negativicutes; Acidaminococcales; Acidaminococcaceae. The record is from RNAcentral.